AAGCAGAUAUCCAGAAAAUUAAAAAUUCCAUUGAAUGUGCUAGACAACCUUUGAAGGUAAAUUAGCAGCAUGAUUAAUUUAGCCAUUGCUGUCAGUCACCUUCAGACAAGA
Molecule: small nucleolar RNA, 111 nt
Filed under: Cavia aperea (Brazilian guinea pig)
Lineage: Eukaryota; Metazoa; Chordata; Mammalia; Rodentia; Caviidae
Source: RNAcentral